UUUUAUUUUUGAAAGAUCGUCUAAUAAAUAAUUGAAUAUGAACAAUUUCCCCAUGAUGGCUUACGUUUUACUGUCAAGCACUCGAAUAGUCGAGCGCGCUGUCCUCUGACAGCUCUUGUUACUAAUGUGUUCGUGUUUUAUUUCUUGAAACUAUUUUUUAAGAUGUAUACCUGCUAGUGUGUUUCGUUUCUUUGGUUUAGUGGUUGUUUCAUAAUUAACAGUGAUUUUAAAUGAAAAGUUUUGAUACUCAAUGUAUAAAAUGAAACUUAAUAAGGUACAAAUGAAUGUAAAAACGCAUAAUUAGACUUUUGAAGGUCCAAGCGACUAAACAAUAGUAUUAUUGCAUAAACUCUUUCUAUAAUGCCCUCUGGCGGGGUGCAGAAACUUGGCAAAAGAAGGGCUUGAACGGGAGAAAUCGUGUAUUAAUAAUGCGAUUCACGUGCCGUUCAAGCCCUGUCAUGUGUUUUUCAUAUCCAUAAUCUGGUCCACGCGCAGUUACUUCCCUUAUCCAGCCUUCGACGACUUUCCAAGCAUAAAUGGGGAACUGAAUAAGCAUCAGUUUCCUCUUGCAUGCAGGGAUAAUGACUAUUUUAAUCCACUUUUCAAGUUAUACCAUCUGCACUCUCUUGACAACAGCUUUAUUUUAUUGCCAACGUCAAUGAAGUUAAGGUUUUUCACUCAAAACUUUUAAAAGACUAUGCUGUAAAUGUAAGUGUGUAUGUACCUUCAACGUUCCUGCUGUAAAUUCCAAAAUAAUUCCUAAUUUCUUACUUUGCGCGGCUGCAUUUCAGCUUGCAUUAAUCCACUGUUUAAACACAUUUUAAAUCGAAAACUGCCUAUCCGAAGGUAAAGCCUCGUCAUUUCGGAUGAUGACCGUGUGAGGCAUAUGUAAAACACAACCUUGAACUGUAUUGAAAUAAUCGAAUUAUUUUGUCGAUGUCGAAUGAACAAAACAUAUUUUUUUAAAUGUUAUUUAAAAUUAUUUUGGUACGUGUGAUUUGUUUAUGCAAUAAUAGCGAAAAUACACAUUUUCUCGGACAUAAGCAUCUGCGGGCGCUCUCAAAAUCCGUUCCUGCCCUCCUGCUGCGUACGCAGGCAAGAACGGAUUUUUCGAGCGCCCGCAGAUGUUCAUGCCCUCGAAAACGUGUAUAAUUCCUAUAAUGUUCAACCGUAUGUAUUAUAACCUCUGGCACGACGAUGACAUAUGUGAUGGUAUUGAACGACAACUCGGCUGGAAAAUUGCGUAUGCAUUAAACAGAUCGUUGUAUGCAAAUCGAAAGUAGAUACAUGAUCUUGUUUACAGUAAGAAUGUAAAACGUAUGAUUUAGAAAUAUAUUUUUAGUGUAAAUUCGUAUUUCCGUACGUACCAAUCACUGAGAAAAACACAGGGGUAACACUUAAAAUAUGCGUAAUGUUUCAUUUUUAAAUUGUUAAGUAUGGGGAAUAUCGCGGGGAUUUCCCGGGAAAUUAUGAUAACAAACCGCAAUCGGGAAAUCUGCUUGAAGUUGGUAAAGAAAUACAGUACGUGUGUAUCUUACGUAAAUACUAAAUUGUUCGUGUUUUAUUUUUUGAAACUACGUUGUUAAAGUAAGUGCUGUUAAUCAAUUAAGAAACUGAAACUUAUGAAGGUACACAUGAAUGUAUACACGCAUAACAAGACUUGCAAAAUUAGCAUUUCAAUAUUAAUAAAUAUAUUACCGAGUAUGUAAUAACAUUGGAUUUUUUUUAUACGUAUUUUCAAUUUAAAUUGGUUACACAAUCGAACCUAUCUGAAUGUUUCGUGAUUAUAAUAUACAUCUGAUUAAAGUCGCGCUUACCUGAUGGAAAAAUGAAAUUACUGCAUGAAAACAUAAACAUACUAUAAUAUUGCAAAAACGUUGUCAGUAUUCCAAAUAAAAAGCAUAUUCAUGUGCUGAAAGUUUUUAACAAUUUUUUUUUUACACCGACAAGAAUUAUCGAUUACAGUCAGACAACUACGUAAACGUCUUUAUGUGGAGUUAUUUAUCUGCUUUUCUUCGAGCUAUCUAAAAUGUAAUUGUAGUUAAAGUUCGAUAAGUGAACUAUCUUGUUAAAAAAAAGUCAGCCCUCCCGCUUAACACUUUAAUAUUUAUGAUUUGAUAUAUUGUAAGAAAUGUCUACAUAUGGUUAAAGGUUGAUGAAGACGAUCUAGGCCUUGAUGAUAACGGAACUUAUGAUGAUGGUGGUGUGGUGAAAAUAUGGCUGAAGGUGGUUACUGGCAUGAAGAGACAGAUCAUGAACUUGCCCCGCGUCCAAGAGGCCUUUACACUCAUCUCCUUGAAGUUCCAUGGCAACGUGAGUCCAUAGAAACCAGUACUGUGAUGAACUCGCUUGGGUAUGAGUUUCAUAUCAGAAAGGCGCGAAGAGAGGCCUACAGGGAGGUGUAUAGCAAUCAAAGCAAUUCGUCUGCGCUUUUAAUCACUACGGGUAGUAAAGCCGAGGGACUGACAAACUUCUUUGAGAGUGACACGGACAUCAUGUGUGUAUUACAAGAUGUCAUGUGUCUAGAAAACGAUGUUAGUUAUGAUAUACUACCAAGGCAAAUUACUGUGUUUACAUUAAACACCGGGGUAUGCUACCACGGACAUUGCAGACUUGCACUAGAGCGGCCUGGUACAAAUAUUCACAGAUUUGUUCGAAAUGCUUAGUGUGCUUAUGAAAACGGACGUGCUCUCUUGAGCAGCGACUUGUACGUUAAUGCUUAUGAAGAACGUAAUGGUGAUUUUCUAUGCAUUAGCAAAUUAUCAUUACAUGAACGUGCAGGGCCGUCAACGCCGAUAACACAAGGGGCAUUAAAUAUAGACGUAGUCAAUUCGUUACACUGUUACUGUCCCAGCAUACUUAGAAAAUGGGCUGAACGACGUCGGCAUUGGCCACCUCCGGAUGUCGUUCACAAAA
RNA transcript from Dreissena polymorpha, 2916 nucleotides. RefSeq lists it as uncharacterized. The transcript has 3 exons. The record is from RefSeq and is a predicted model, not a curated record. Lineage: Eukaryota; Metazoa; Mollusca; Bivalvia; Myida; Dreissenidae.